This 547-nucleotide long non-coding RNA is filed under the name Lepisosteus oculatus (spotted gar). Its description in RNAcentral is "lncRNA (ENSLOCG00000021666.1)". Lineage: Eukaryota; Metazoa; Chordata; Actinopteri; Semionotiformes; Lepisosteidae. The record is from RNAcentral.
AGAUGGUAAUGCAGUAUUAUUCCACAUGGGAUGUUCUUCAGGACAAGUUCCUCCCUGUUUUCAGGCCAGUUUAUUUUAUUCUCUAGGUCUGAUUGAAUUGAGAUUCAGACUCUUUGGAAGCCUCAGCAUUAAUUUUAAUUUUUCACCCUCCAUCUUGCUUAUUGUUGAAUAAAGAGUACUUCCCAUUAUGUCAUAGUGCUUUGAAUUAUUGCAAUUUUUAGUUCCUGUGGGUUUAAGAUAUGAAAGAGUGUCAAUACCACACAAUAGUGAAUCAUGCACUGCAACUUUCUCUCCAAUAGGUCUCCAAAUAACAUCUACUUUUCCCCAACAACUCCUAGUGCACUUCCCCCCUUCUCCCGGCAACAGUUAAAACAGAUCAUGCCCAUAAAGUUAACAGAAGGCCUCUCAUGCUUGUUAAGGUCCCACCAAUCAUGGAUUUCCUUGUUAUUAUUCAAACCUGAAGCAACCCAAGCAACGAAUCUGUGAUGACAGUGUGACUCAGGAAUCAGGUGAGGAUGAAUUUAUUCAGGUGUUUUUCUAAACUUUA